This 466-nucleotide ribosomal RNA is filed under the name uncultured bacterium. RNAcentral describes it as "partial 16S ribosomal RNA". It matches the Rfam family "Bacterial small subunit ribosomal RNA", at positions 28 to 507 of the family's 1533-position model. The record is from RNAcentral.
GAUGAACGCUGGCGGCGUGCUUAACACAUGCAAGUCGAACGGUGAAGCCAAGCUUGCUUGGUGUAUCAGUGGCGAACUGGUGAGUAACACGUGAGCAACCUGCCCUGGACUCUGGGAUAAGCGCUGGAAACGGCGUCUAAUACUGGAUAUGAGCCUCUUCCUCAUGGUGGGGGUUGGAAAGAUUUUUUGGUCUGGGAUUGGCUCGCGGCCUAUCCGCUUGUUGGUGAGGUAAUGGCUCACCAAGGCGUCGACGGGUAGCCGGCCUGAGAGGGUGACCGGCCACAAUGGGACUGAGACACGGCCCAGACUCCUACGGGAGGCAGCAGUGGGGAAUAUUGCACAAUGGGAGAAAGCCGGAUGCAGAAACGCCGCGUGAGGGAUGACGGCCUGCGGGUUGUAAACCUCUUUUAGCAGGGAAGAAGCGAAAGUGACGGUACCUGCAGAAAAAGCGCCGGCUAACUACGUG